This 253-nucleotide ribosomal RNA is filed under the name uncultured bacterium. RNAcentral's name for it is "partial 16S ribosomal RNA". It matches the Rfam family "Bacterial small subunit ribosomal RNA", at positions 524 to 776 of the family's 1533-position model. The record is from RNAcentral.
UACGAAGGGUGCAAGCGUUAAUCGGAAUUACUGGGCGUAAAGCGUGCGUAGGCGGUUUGUUAAGUCUGUUGUGAAAUCCCCGGGCUCAACCUGGGAACUGCAUCUGUGACUGCAUAGCUAGAGUACGGUAGAGGGGGAUGGAAUUCCGCGUGUAGCAGUGAAAUGCGUAGAUAUGCGGAGGAACACCGAUGGCGAAGGCAAUCCCCUGGACCUGUACUGACGCUCAUGCACGGAAGCGUGGGGAGCAAACAGG